AUGCAAGAGGCAAAGAAAUCUAUGAAAGAAAAAGGUAUUAAAGCUGAAGAUGUUAAGAAUUUACCGCCUAUUGAAGAAAUACAUGGCCUUAAUAAGCUGACACAGGUAGUAAAGGUAAAUUCUCUCUAUAGAUUUUAUGAAGUUGAUAUUCCUCAUAAUAAGUCUGCUAGUCAAUGCUUGGAUGAGUUUGAUAAUUUUAUUGUUAAACAAGAAAACUUCAAUGCUUAUGUUGGUAGACAAUUGAAACGUAAUGCUUAUAUGGUUGAACACUUGAGUGAUUAUAUGUCUAGAGUUAAAGGUGACCUUAAGCUUAUUAGUAAACAUGCAUCCAUGGUUACCACUCAAGUAGAACAAGUACUUAAAGCACAAGAUGAUUUGCUCAAUGAAUUAAAUAAUAAGAACAAUGAUAAUGAUGUUAGAGUUAUGACUAGAUGUGAUAGAAUGACCAAGUAA
RNAcentral lists this ribosomal RNA (453 nucleotides) under Triticum aestivum (bread wheat). RNAcentral's name for it is "partial small subunit ribosomal RNA". The record is from RNAcentral. Lineage: Eukaryota; Viridiplantae; Streptophyta; Magnoliopsida; Poales; Poaceae.